GCCUUCGUGGCGUAAUUGGAAGCAUACUCGACGCGAAUUCGAGGGGUCCAAGGUUCGAGUCCUUGCGAGGGCA
Molecule: non-coding RNA, 73 nt
Organism: Stegodyphus dumicola
Lineage: Eukaryota; Metazoa; Arthropoda; Arachnida; Araneae; Eresidae
Source: the annotation of a RefSeq genome assembly